Molecule: long non-coding RNA, 612 nt
Filed under: Betula platyphylla (Asian white birch)
Lineage: Eukaryota; Viridiplantae; Streptophyta; Magnoliopsida; Fagales; Betulaceae
Description: salt induced long non-coding RNA 7
Source: RNAcentral
UUUUCUCCUAUUCUUUCUCCAUUUUUUCUUUUUUUUUUCCUUCUUUUACUUUUUAACUUUUUGAAGAGAAAUGGCAUGAUUAUAUUUUCAUGUUAUUUUUAUUAUUUCUUUGGAAUGAAAAAAUAUAAAUUGAGGUCCUAGAUUUAAAAUCUUCGUAAACUCAAAUCUUAAAAUUUGGUCUUAGACGAAGGCAGGAGAUAAUAUGGAGAGGGGCCAAGACCAAAAAAAAUUAUAAGAUAGGGCAAAAAAAAAAAAUUUUGGAUUAGGGCCAAUAGAUUUAAAAAAAAAAAAAAAAAAUUGGCUUGUAAAAAAAAUAAUUAAAAAAAAUUGGCUUGAAUAUAUAUAUAUUUUUUGUCUCCCCCCCUCCCUCUGUCUGUCUCUGAUAGUCUUAAUGUUAAAGGCUAUGUUUAUUAAAUCCUUGAAUGUGUUUUUGGUGUUUUGAAUAGUAAUAGAAGUAAAUGAUGAGAUAUAAAGCAGGAAUAAUGUUUCGAAUUUUGCGUAUGAAAAAGUUUUAAUUUUUAGUGAGUUUUUUUAUUUGAAUAAUAAUAAAAAGUUAGUGAUGUGGUAUAAAAAGUAAAAAAAAAAAUUAUGAAAAAGUAAUCGUAUGUAUCA